GGGCCCGCACAAGCGGUGGAGUAUGUGGUUUAAUUCGAUGCAACGCGAAGAACCUUACCAACACUUGACAUGUUCGUCGCGACUUUAAGAGAUUAAAGUUUUCGGUUCGGCCGGACGAAACACAGGUGCUGCAUGGCUGUCGUCAGCUCGUGUCGUGAGAUGUUGGGUUAAGUCCCGCAACGAGCGCAACCCUCACUUUUAGUUGCCAUCAUUAAGUUGGGCACUCUGAAAGAACUGCCAGUGAUAAGCUGGAGGAAGGUGGGGAUGACGUCAAGUCCUCAUGGCCCUUACGUGUUGGGCUACACACGUGCUACAAUGGUAUCUACAACAGGAAGCAAGACUGCGAAGUUAAG
RNAcentral lists this ribosomal RNA (353 nucleotides) under uncultured bacterium. RNAcentral's name for it is "bacterial SSU rRNA". It matches the Rfam family "Bacterial small subunit ribosomal RNA", at positions 917 to 1267 of the family's 1533-position model. The record is from RNAcentral.